AGCUGGCUGGUUCCAUGAGGUGACUUCUGCCCAGUGCUCUGAUUGUCAUGGCAAAGAGAUUUCGCCAAGCGCGGGUAAACGGCGGGAGUAACUAUGACUCUCUUAAGGUAGCCAAAUGCCUCGUCAACCAAUUAUUGACGCGCAUGAAUGGAUCAACGAGAUUCCUGCUGUCCCUAGGUGCUGUCCGGUGAACCAACAGCCAAGGGAACGGGCUUGGGCGUGCCAGCGGGGAAAGAAGACCCUGUUGAGUUUGACUCUAGUUUGAUGCUGUGCAACGACAUGUGGGGUGUAGCAUAGGUGGGAGGCAAGCGCCAUCAUCCUUGUACCACCCACCACCACCACCGCACCACCACCACCACCACCGAAGUGUGCCAGGUGCGUGCGUGUGUGGGUGUGGGGUGUGCUGCUCUGCUGUCAGAAGAAGACGAAGAGGAGAGGAGAGGCGGUCACCCUGUCCUCAGACCGCCGCCUGUUGUCUGUGUGUGUGUGGCCCAUCAUCGAUCAUCGAUCAUCAUCUCAGAGAGGUUCGGUCCCAACACCACCACCACGGGAUGGAUGGUGCGAACCAGCAGUGAAAUACCACUACCUUCACCGUCGUUUUACUCAUCGAGUGGCUUGGGAACAGCGGCCCUUUGGACAUCGGCCUCCCGCAUGCGUGCAUCCCUGCCAGGGGACCAUCAUCCCAUGGUGUGGGCUGUGUGCCCUGUGGGGGUCGCGGCCUCAUCCUGCUUCGUGUGUCAAGUGUGGGCGUCCCCGGACAGCCGUCCCCGUGGCGGUCCUGUGCUGGGGGUCACCGCCUGCAUGACCCUAUGGGGGUUCUGCCCCAUCCCUCCGUUCGGAGCCUCGGGACAAUGAUCAGUUGGGGAGUUUGGCUGGGGCGGCACGCCUGUUACAGGACAACGCAGGCGUCCUGAAGCAUUGCUCAGAUGGAACAGAAAUCUUGCAUGGAGGAGCAGGCCAAAGGUGCUGCUGAUGCGGCGACUUCCAGUACAAGUCCAGAACGUGCAAGCGUGGCCUUGCGAUCCUUUGGUCAAGUGUGCGGGUUCCGGAUAUUGAAGCCAGAGGUGUCAGAAAAAUUACCACAGGGAUAACUGGCUUGUGGCUGCCAAGCGUUCAAAGCGACGUCGCUUUUUGAUCCUUCGAUGUCGGCUCUUCCUAGCUUCCCACCCGCAGCCGAGUGGAAGAGUUGGAUUGUUC
Molecule: ribosomal RNA, 1197 nt
Filed under: Lepocinclis fusca
Lineage: Eukaryota; Euglenozoa; Euglenophyceae; Euglenales; Phacaceae
Description: partial large subunit ribosomal RNA
Rfam family: Eukaryotic large subunit ribosomal RNA
Source: RNAcentral